UACGUAGGGCGCGAGCGUUAAUCGGAAUUACUGGGCGUAAAGCGUGCGCAGGCGGUUUUGUAAGUCUGUCGUGAAAUCCCCGGGCUCAACCUGGGAAUGGCGAUGGAGACUGCAAGGCUGGAAUCUGGCAGAGGGGGGUAGAAUUCCACGUGUAGCAGUGAAAUGCGUAGAGAUGUGGAGGAACACCGAUGGCGAAGGCAGCCCCCUGGGCUAAGAUUGACGCUCAUGCACGAAAGCGUGGGGAGCAAACAGG
RNAcentral lists this ribosomal RNA (253 nucleotides) under uncultured bacterium. Its description in RNAcentral is "partial 16S ribosomal RNA". It matches the Rfam family "Bacterial small subunit ribosomal RNA", at positions 524 to 776 of the family's 1533-position model. The record is from RNAcentral.